This 1066-nucleotide long non-coding RNA is filed under the name Numida meleagris (helmeted guineafowl). RNAcentral's name for it is "lncRNA (ENSNMEG00000023069.1)". Lineage: Eukaryota; Metazoa; Chordata; Aves; Galliformes; Numididae. The record is from RNAcentral.
CACCCACCCAACUCCACUGUGACCACAGCAAGCUGAUCUCUGUACCAUGUAUGACCACGCAGAUCAAAUAUUCUCCACCAAUACCUGAUCUAUAGCUGGAUGUUACCACAGCCUGGUUACCCUCCUGGUUGACUUUUUAGACCAAAGCACAUCUGAACGACAGCGACACACAGAGAGCUGGGUGAUUUGAGUCUCCCUGAGUGCAAAGGAUUACAACAGCCCAAAGGAUUAAAGCUAAACCUGCAGCGCUUAGGGAACUGGCUCCACGGAGAGAUUUAUGAUGGCUUGGUAACUGCAGCCUGCUAGUGGAAAUACAGGAACUGAGUAUUGAUCCUUGGAAAAUGAUCAACAAUUAAAAUAAAAUAUAGACAGCUACAAUCCCAGUGGUCGCAUUGAAGAAGGAAAUGCUUCAUUCACACCUCAUAAGAGCGUUCAGAACAUGAGUGGAGGGCAGAUUUCUUCCUUCAUCAGUGGUUACGAGGCAUCAUAGAAAUACUUUCAUAAACAAAGAAAUUCAGUACAUCCGCCACAGCCUACAAAAGACGCCGCUGUGAUCCUGGAAAUGCUGGGAUUCCCAGGAACACCUGCAGCAAAGCAGAGUUUGGCCAUUCAUCCUUCAAGGACACUGAACGUGCUGCUACCUCAACCUUCGUGCAUCAGUUUUCCCUACGAUGAGGAGAAAAAACCCACUCUUUUGAAAUGCGAGUCAUUUGUAAUGUUACGUGCAGAAGAUUCUGGUGUCGUGAUCUUUCACUUUUGCCCUGCAUCUAAUACUGAGGAUCAUUCAGCCAUGAUGAAACCAGCUGGAGGAAACUCUCUCCUGCAAGACAUGAAGGCCAAUGAUGGUAUGAAAGAUAUGGGGCUGCUUUGUCAUUUGUUGCUCCAUAUUCCAUAUGUUUGUCUGAUUGGUGUAGGGCAAGGUCUAUUUAUUAAGACGACAGCUUGUGUGAAUUGCAGGCAGCUGACAGCAAAAAAUGAAAGCACCCAGGAAGGCAAUGCAGUGACUGAGCAGAACAGCCUUAAGGGAACUUUUGGGGAUGCUGCGAAAACCCAACGAGGACAAUAG